RNAcentral lists this transfer RNA (67 nucleotides) under Junonia zonalis. RNAcentral's name for it is "tRNA-Val". RNAcentral also lists the same sequence under 2 other names. Lineage: Eukaryota; Metazoa; Arthropoda; Insecta; Lepidoptera; Nymphalidae. The record is from RNAcentral.
UCAAAUUAGAGCUUGUAUAAGUAUUUCAUUUACAUUGAAAAGAAAUUAAAGAAUUAAUUAAUUUGAG